Molecule: long non-coding RNA, 212 nt
Filed under: Phoenix dactylifera (date palm)
Lineage: Eukaryota; Viridiplantae; Streptophyta; Magnoliopsida; Arecales; Arecaceae
Description: long non-coding RNA (PDAC_LNC012371)
Source: RNAcentral
CUAUGCCUUCUUGAACCAUGAAAUGGCUCUUUUUCCAACUUAAUACUAGGUUGGUCUCCUUACAUCUUUUCAUACUAGAGUUAAAUUAUCCAGACAAUUGUCAAAAGAUAAGCCAGAAACGGAGAAAUCAUCAAUGAAUACUUCUAGAAAGUUUUCCACCAUAUCUGAAAAAAUGGCCAUCAUACAUCGUUGAAAAGUUGCGGGUGCAUUGC